This 694-nucleotide ribosomal RNA is filed under the name bacterium Cc29. Its description in RNAcentral is "bacterial SSU rRNA". It matches the Rfam family "Bacterial small subunit ribosomal RNA", at positions 60 to 754 of the family's 1533-position model. The record is from RNAcentral.
AGCCUUGCUCCCUGAUGUUAGCGGCGGACGGGUGAGUAACACGUGGGUAACCUGCCUGUAAGACUGGGAUAACUCCGGGAAACCGGGGCUAAUACCGGAUGGUUGUUUGAACCGCAUGGUUCAAACAUAAAAGGUGGCUUCGGCUACCACUUACAGAUGGACCCGCGGCGCAUUAGCUAGUUGGUGAGGUAACGGCUCACCAAGGCAACGAUGCGUAGCCGACCUGAGAGGGUGAUCGGCCACACUGGGACUGAGACACGGCCCAGACUCCUACGGGAGGCAGCAGUAGGGAAUCUUCCGCAAUGGACGAAAGUCUGACGGAGCAACGCCGCGUGAGUGAUGAAGGUUUUCGGAUCGUAAAGCUCUGUUGUUAGGGAAGAACAAGUACCGUUCGAAUAGGGCGGUACCUUGACGGUACCUAACCAGAAAGCCACGGCUAACUACGUGCCAGCAGCCGCGGUAAUACGUAGGUGGCAAGCGUUGUCCGGAAUUAUUGGGCGUAAAGGGCUCGCAGGCGGUUUCUUAAGUCUGAUGUGAAAGCCCCCGGCUCAACCGGGGAGGGUCAUUGGAAACUGGGGAACUUGAGUGCAGAAGAGGAGAGUGGAAUUCCACGUGUAGCGGUGAAAUGCGUAGAGAUGUGGAGGAACACCAGUGGCGAAGGCGACUCUCUGGUCUGUAACUGACGCUGAGGAGC